This 216-nucleotide ribosomal RNA is filed under the name Glomeromycotina sp. RNAcentral describes it as "partial small subunit ribosomal RNA". The stretch from base 75 to 216 matches the Rfam family "Eukaryotic small subunit ribosomal RNA", at positions 721 to 864 of the family's 1831-position model. The record is from RNAcentral. Lineage: Eukaryota; Fungi; Glomeromycota.
GGGUCAGUAGGUUGGUCGUGCCACCGGUACGUACUGGUCUCACGGAUUCCUCCUUCCUGAAGAACCGUAACGCCAUUAAUUUGGUGUUGCGGGGAAACAGGACUGUUACUUUGAAAAAAUUAGAGUGUUUAAAGCAGGCUAACGCUUGAAUACAUUAGCAUGGAAUAAUGAAAUAGGACGAUCGAUCCUAUUUUGUUGGUUUCUAGGAUUGACGUA